UUUCUGUGUGUUUGGGAUUCCAUCUUCUUCUGCCCUUGGACAUUGACUCUACUCUUAGACUGCAGGCUCCUAACAAACAGGAUCCUACUGCUUCUUACUGGUGUGGGAGACUUCCAGUUUGAACCAGAAUGACACCAUUAGCUUUUCUGGUCUCCAAACUGUAAACAAGUGAUCGUGGAACUUCUCAGCCUCUGUCAUCAUCUGAAUCACUGUUUCAUGUUCUAGGUUUAAAAAGGUGUGCCGACAUAGCCAGCAUGAAGCAUGACUUUUCUAGUGUUGUUGUUUGCUGUUGUGGAGGAGUGAGGUCCUGUAUUCAAAAAUAGGUAUACACCAGUGUGAAUAACAAGGAUCAUAAAAGCAAGCAGCAGACAAGAACCAAGGGAGCAUGCCUCUCUUCUCUUCUUGUUACUCAAGACACAGCGAGUCUUCCCAUAUCUCCAGGGACACUGAUGACAGCACCAGGCAUUUGUCACUGGGCCACAAAGGCGGUGCAUCUGAAAAAAAAGGCCACCCACUUGGAGAAGCCUGCUUAAUUUAUCAGCCAGCAUGCACAGAUAGGGAAAGGGCCAGACUGAACUCAGGAGCAAACUCGUGCACAGGGAAGCAGGGGCAGGUGACUCCAGAGGUACAGACAGUUACACCAGAAGCUGCUAGUUGCAACCUUCUAAACAGUGUACAAUUUACUUCUUGUUUUCUUUCCAGCUUGGGGCAAGCAUUGUUCAGGGGAAUUAUAACAGUCCUUUGCUGAAGGGAGAAGAAAAGCCUUGGCUUAGUUUUUGGAAGCAUAAUAAUUUUAUUAACAUAACUGGUUUUGAAUAUUACAGCCCCCGAAGGCAAGUGGGGUUCUUUGGGUUUUGCCUAACUUUGCACCCAUUUUAAUGAAGUAUAUUUUAUGAGUAAGUCACUGCUGCAUAUAAAUAAGCAGUUUCUUUCUUAAUGAAGGGUGAAUAACUGGUGUUUGUUGCUAUGUGGAUUCUUUACAUAUGAAGUAUUUUUAAAGACUUUGGGUCUAAAGAUAAUUCAGGUUUGAAAUGCUAAUACAAAGUUGGCAUUUGGGUGAGUAUGAUAGUUAAAAAGAAUUACACAUAUUAAUGUAGUAAUUCCUAAUUAGCAAAAUGACUUUCAAAUAAGCCAUUGAGGUAGGUGUCUAAGGAGCAAUAUCUCUAAUUGCCCUAAGAUAAACUACAAACAGAACCUGCAGCAGGGUAACAGAUAGCAAUAAAAUUUGUCAAUAAAACAGAUAUUGCUUCACCUCUUUGGGCUCUGCUCUCUUGUCAGAGUGCUGCAAGCAGAGUUUUAAUGGAGAAUUAUUUAAAAGACACCAAGGCACGCUGGGACACAUCUCUGCUUAUGUAAAAUGUGGUGGAAUAUUCUUUUAAUCCUUCAAAGCUAAUCAUAAAGGAAUGGAAAAUAUUUAGGCAAAAGUUGCCUCCUUUGAAGACUUACGUGUCUACAAGAAGCUGGCCAGGAUUAUCAGCCUUUGCAUCAAACACAUCUUGUGCUUGUUUUUCAUGUGAACACUGUGUACCAGCUAACUGUGAUUACUAUCUAAUUAGGCCAGACUUUGCUGGAAGUAAGUAAACACUUUCAUCACAGAUGUAUUCUUGGUCUCCUCUGUCAUGUUUAUUCUGAAACAGUUUUUAAUAGUAAAUCCACCAAACUCUGA
Long non-coding RNA from Arvicola amphibius (Eurasian water vole), 1666 nucleotides. RefSeq lists it as uncharacterized. Lineage: Eukaryota; Metazoa; Chordata; Mammalia; Rodentia; Cricetidae. The transcript has 3 exons. The record is from RefSeq and is a predicted model, not a curated record.